GAAUCCGCUAAGGAGUGUGUAACAACUCACCUGCCGAAUGAAUUAGCCCUGAAAAUGGAUGGCGCUGAAGCGGGCAGCCGACACCGCGCCGUUCCGGCGAGACGUUGCCGGGAUGAGUAGGAGGGCGUGGCGGUCAGUGAAGCAGGCGAGGGUGCAAACCCCGCUGAAACGGCCGCUAGUGCAGAUCUUGGUGGUAGUAGCAAAUAUUCAAGCGAGAUCCUUGAAGGGCGAAGCGGGGAAGGGUUCCACGCCAACAUUGAUUGGGCGUGGGUGAGUCGUUCCUAAGCCGAGUGGCAAUUGCUAAGUAGCGGCGAAAGGGAAGCGGGUUAAAAUUCCCGCACACAGAUAUGGAGGCGGCGACGCAAGCUGAGGCGAAUACGCUGGCGAGGGCGCCGGGCAGAGUUGUCUUUUCUGUUUGACCGGCAUCGAGCUGUGUGGAAUCCGCUUAUCGGGAGAAACACGCUCGGGUAGGGGCAGAGCGUCAGGUCUUUUCUGGCGUCCGGCUCGCCCUCGACGGCCCUUGAAAAUUCGUCCGCGAGCUUAAAUUUCAUGCUGUGACGUACCGAUAACCGCAUCAGGUCCCCAAGGUGAACAGCCUCUGCUCAAUAUGAACAAUGCAGGUAAGGGAAGUCGGCA
RNAcentral lists this ribosomal RNA (636 nucleotides) under Tricleocarpa sp. ARS-2011. Its description in RNAcentral is "eukaryotic LSU rRNA". It matches the Rfam family "Eukaryotic large subunit ribosomal RNA", at positions 1264 to 1919 of the family's 3401-position model. The record is from RNAcentral. Lineage: Eukaryota; Rhodophyta; Florideophyceae; Nemaliales; Galaxauraceae.